UGCCCAACAACUGCUAUCCAUACCUCCUCGCGGUACUGGCCGGGAUACGAGUAACCUUAGGGAAGAUCGGGUAACCAAUCCCGGUGGGAGCUCUGGUCGUAUGCUGACAGGAAAGG
This 116-nucleotide ribozyme is filed under the name Aedes aegypti (yellow fever mosquito). RNAcentral's name for it is "drz-agam-1 ribozyme". It matches the Rfam family "drz-agam-1 ribozyme". Lineage: Eukaryota; Metazoa; Arthropoda; Insecta; Diptera; Culicidae. The record is from Rfam by way of RNAcentral.